UACGUAGGGUGCAAGCGUUUAAUCGGAAUUACUGGGCGUAAAGCGUGCGCAGGCGGUUAUGCAAGACAGAUGUGAAAUCCCCGGGCUUAACCUGGGAACUGCAUUUGUGACUGCAUAGCUGGAGUACGGUAGAGGGGGAUGGAAUUCCGCGUGUAGCAGUGAAAUGCGUAGAUAUGCGGAGGAACACCGAUGGCGAAGGCAGUCCCCUGGACCUGUACUGACGCUCUGC
This 229-nucleotide ribosomal RNA is filed under the name uncultured bacterium. Its description in RNAcentral is "partial 16S ribosomal RNA". It matches the Rfam family "Bacterial small subunit ribosomal RNA", at positions 524 to 752 of the family's 1533-position model. The record is from RNAcentral.